Parus major (Great Tit) is the source of this 4883-nucleotide RNA transcript. It is a transcript of the gene named TUB like protein 1, with no coding region annotated. The record is from RefSeq and is a predicted model, not a curated record. NCBI's taxonomy places the organism in Eukaryota, Metazoa, Chordata, Aves, Passeriformes, Paridae. The transcript is spliced from 11 exons.
AGCAUGGGCUGAGGACAGCAUGGGCCACAGCUGCCCCCAGGGACCCUCCUCACUCACCACGAGGCUGGGAUCCCCCACUGCCUAAGGACGUUGCGUUGGCUGAUGCCAUGGUCACCUCUGGGCAGAGGCAGCUGAGGAUGAGGAUGAUGAGGAAGAGGAAGAAGAGGUGGAGAAUAAAAACCCACCGAAAAAGCUCAAGAAGAAGCUUCCCAAAGAGCCCCUCUCAGGUGGGGGGGAGAAGAAGCUGAAGACAAAGGAAGACAAGAGUGACCCUGACAGCAAAGCCAAAUCUGCCAAAAGCACCAAGAAGGAGCCAAUGUCCGUGUUCCAGGUGAAGAAGGAGAAGAAAAGCAAGAAGAAAGCUGCCACCAGCAGUGAUGAGGAGGACGAUUCUGACUCCAGCACCAAGCCCAUUAGGUCAGAGAAGAAAAACCCAGCAUCCCUCUUUCAGACUGGUGGGGACCCCCCAAAAGAGAAAAAAUCCAAAAAGAAAGUUCCUCCCAAAGGGGCUGAGAGUGAGGAGGAGACCCCAGAGACCCUGGAAAAAAACUCCAACAAGAAGGGAAAAGCAAAGAAAUCAAAGAAGCAGCAGAAGGAGGAGAGGCCCCCGUCCCCUGUCAUCGAGGUGGACAACCUGGAGGAGUUUGUGCUGCAGCCAGCGCCGCAGGGGGUGACCAUCAAGUGCCGGGUGACACGGGACAAGAAGGGCAUGGACCGGGGACUUUACCCCACCUAUUACCUUCACUUGGACAAUGACAAGAAGGUGUUCCUCCUUGCUGGGAGGAAGCGUAAGAAGAGCAAAACCUCCAACUACCUCAUCUCCAUUGACCCCACUGACCUGUCACGGGGUGGAGAGAACUUCAUCGGGAAGCUGAGGUCCAACUUGAUGGGUACGAGGUUCACCGUGUUUGACAACGGCACCAACCCCGACAGGGCCAACGCUGACUGGUCCAACGUGCGGCAGGAACUCUCGGCCGUGGUCUAUGAGACCAACGUUUUAGGGUUCAAAGGCCCCCGGAAGAUGACUGUCAUCAUCCCUGGGAUGAACGCUGACUGUGAGAGGGUGCCCAUCCGGCCCCGGAAUGAUAACGAUGGCCUCCUGAUGCGAUGGCAGAACAGGAACAUGGACAACGUGAUCGAGCUGCACAACAAAGCCCCAGUGUGGAACGACGAGACCCAAUCCUACGUCCUCAAUUUCCACGGCCGAGUCACCCACGCCUCUGUCAAAAAUUUCCAGAUCGUGCACAGCAGUGACCCCGAGUACAUCGUGAUGCAGUUCGGGCGUGUGGCGGAUGAUGCCUUCACCAUGGACUACAACUACCCCCUGUGCGCCGUGCAGGCCUUUGCCAUCGCCCUCUCCAGCUUUGACGGGAAGCUGGCCUGCGAGUAGCACCUGCAGCGGGGCUGCCGGGACCAGCGGGGCUGCCUGCCUGUGCCCGGAGGAUAUUCCUGCAUCUCUGUCCUGUUCCGUUCCCUGCAUUUUCACCUUCUUGCAGUCACGGUUGUUCCUGGGGUGGUUCAAGGCAUCUGGUUCCCACUGAGGAUGCUCACCUGGCUGCAGCCACUCUCUCCAGGCAAAUUCGUGGCAAAUUGUUGGGCUGGGGUGAUGGCAGAGCCAAGCUGGAGAUAUAUUCAUAUUCAGCAGAUGAGGCUGACUGCAAUCCCUGUCUCAUCCCUUUGGACUCAGAUCCUGGAAACUCAUCCCCACCCCUCUUUUUAUUAUUUUUUUUUGGUAUGGUUUGGAUCUUUAUGUUCAUUCUCCCAGUGAGAAAGGGGUAGGUGGUCUCCCCACUUUUUUUUUCCUCAUCCCUACCCACAUGCAGGUGGGCUCUGCCUAAGCUCCCAGCUAAAGACCCCCAUCCCAACUCAUUGGCCACCAGGCACAAAGCCCCUCUUUGGCCCCAUUUUGCCCUGGUGUGAGGGGAUGGCUGGUGCCCAUGGUGUGUUUGUACCCACUGGGUCUCACCACACUGCCCAGAAAAUGAUGGGGAUUUGGGUCCCUAAGAAGCAGCCUGGCACCAGCAGCGCACAGGCACGUGCUGAGGGGUGACAGUGCCAGCAGAGGAGGCAGGCACAUGAGACAGAGCUUGCACUGCUGGCAGGUGGCCCAGCUGGGUCAAUGCUGCUAGGAGAGACCUGGAAGAGAAAACUCAGGAUGCACCAGGAAGCAGUGGAGUGACUCAUGAGGUGUGGUGUGGUGCUGAGUCACGCUCAGCACCCAGACAGGCCCUGCUGAGCUCCCCGUGCCCUCAGCUUUCACUGCUCCUCUACUCUGUGACGCCCCUGCAGACCCCACGUGCCCCAGAUGUCCCCACAGCUGCCUCACUGGUGCUUUCUGUUGACGAGAGAUGGACAGAAGGUGUCAUUCCCUGCCUCAGGCUGGUGGGGAGCUGGGGUGACACCAGUGCAGGGAGGCAUUGGGAAGGGGAGAUGCUGAAGAGAGGCAGCUCAGUGGGAGCAGGACAGCUCUUGUCCCCAGUUUCACCAGUUAUGGGGUGAGGAUUUGGCUGCACAAACAGUCCCAAAUCUGAUUAAUUCAGUGGUGAGAAAAACAGGGACAUGACAAGGAGCCUUGGAACACUGUCCUCAGCUCUCUGGUCGCGUUUUUCUCACCUGCUCAGCUCUCCUGCUGACUUAUGUGGGAUUCCCUUUGCAGUACACAAAGGGGUUGCUCCCCAAUUCUGGGGGUGAUACAAGCCCCCCAGGUUAAUGCAGCUGAAAGGCAUCUCCAGCAGAAAGGCUGAGGAGCAGAUGGAUGAGAUGGAUGUGGUUGUGCAAGAGGGAUGCUCAUCCUCUCUGGGCAGUGUCACAACAUCACCGUGGCCUGACCUGUCUGCUUGGGGCUGAGGGCAGAUGGCAGUGACAGGGGGACCAUUGGUGAACAUCUGCCCCUUUGCAGAUGGGAAUGGAGACUUUCCCCAGCUGUAUGAAUCUGGGCUUCAUGAUUCACAGGCACAUGCUCGUGGUGGGGCAGGCAGAGGUGGACAGCUUGGGGACAAGCCAGCCUGCGUGGGACAUUAUCCAUUAUACACGCUCAGAGAACAUCUUGUGAGCCAGAGGGAGAACCAGCCACAGCAGUUCGGGGCCAGCAUCCCUGGUGAGGGUGAUGGAUAUUUGGGCCCUUUGUUUGCGCUGGCUGUUAACACCAGAGGAGAUGAGGGAUGGAAGCAGUUGAAAUGUGUAUCUACUUUGGCCGUCGGAAAGUGUGACGGAUGCGCCGGCAGACCAAUGGCUGAGGAUGCUGGGCUGUGCGUGGGUGUGAAAGGAAUGCUCGCUGCAAGAAAAGAUAAAAAAAAAGAAAAAAGAGCCUUAUCAAUGGUGUUUGAGUCCAAAGUGUGUGUAUUCCUUGGAGAAAGGGUUUCCUCAAUCCCCAGGGAUAAUGUUUUCCCUGCAAUGUGAAACUUUGAGGUUUCUGAAGCUUCAUUUUAGGGGCACUGGCACUGGGCUGGUGCUGCAGGCAUGGAUUUAACCCGACAAAGUGCUCAUGCAGGGGCACAAGCGUGGCCAGUGGCCAGAGGUGACUGUCGUCAGCUCCUCAAGGGAACCUCCUGGGAAAUGCGUUUUAUUUUUGCAGAGAUGCUUAUAAGGCAAAGGGGAGGAAAAAAAUAAGGCCCCACCUCAGUGCUGAGCUGCACAUCCCAGGCAGGAGCAGUGUCACUGCAAUGCUGGCAGCUCUCUCCGGGGUUCAUCCCCAUCCCACGCCGAUGAGUGGAAAGAUGCUGCUCCAGAGCUGAGCAGGAAGGUGGAUAUGAGGGGUCUUCUCCAGCUGCUGGCUUCUCCCUCUUCUGCAGACCCCUGGGGUUUGGGGGGCUCCAUGCACCCAGUUCUGAGCCCCACUCUCUUGAGGGGGCUGACAGAUAUUUCCAUGCGUCCCAGGAGGCAAACGUUCCAGCGGGAAGGAAGGAGGGAAGGGCUGGGACAUCCUGGGGGGUGCAGGAGGGGAGACCAGCCCUGGGAAACUCCUUGUCCAGCAGUGGAAGGGCUGGAGCUGUUUGGUUCCCAGCAAGCUGCCCUGGCCCCAGCCCUGCAGGAUCUCUCUUCAGCUUUGAAGUGGUGAUACUUUAAUUAAUAAAAGAAGUUAUUGUGACGAGGUGUUCUUCCCUCCCCCUCCCCUUGUAUUUAUUUUGGUAACAUUUUUUAGAGGGAAAGGCAGACUCAUUGCUGGUUAGCUCAGCUGUGGCUUUGCAGGAUGGGCUCCUUCUCGAUGCAGCAAGCCACAGGCAGCAAUGGGAAAGCCAAUAUUUUUCAACUGCUUUUUAAAAGGAGUCAUUUUUUAAUUAGUAAAUCCAUUCUGGAGAAGUGUUGGAGUUUUACAAUGUUGUAGCUGUUCUUGGUGUCUUGCCUAGACUUGGAUGUUCUGGCCAUAAGAAAAUAUUAUUUAUGGCGUUGCAGCUUGCAGCUCUUUUAUAUUAUAAUUUGAGAAAGGAAGUUGCUGUUCCCACCAGCGGACAAAAAAAUAGCAGAAACAAGGACUAUGGACUUCUGAAGCAGGAAAAUAAAUAAAAAUUAAGAGGCAGAAUGGAAACAAACCACUGAGCCAGCCUUGAAUCUUUGCAUUCCUGAACAAGCUCAUCCCAGCAUCACUAUCAGUUGUGCUGGAUGCUGUAGCCAGACCCCUGCCCAAAUGGCAAGGCCAGAGCAGCAGUGACCCCCUCAGCACUCUCCUGCUCAAUGUUACAUGUGUUCCUAAACAUUUGUGGAUCAGGCUUUUUAUUCAUGGGCUAAUGCACACUUGUUUGCUCAUGACUUACUCAGCCUAAACUCCUAUUGAACUCAAUUAAAGCUGUCAUCUCCAGGAGCACUCAAUGUCAUUUUUGCCCAAGUAAGGGAUGAGUAACGAGGCUCUGAACAGCCCUUGGAGAAUAACAGCCAUUUUGUUGCAG